AGUGAACGCUGGCGGUAGGCCUAACACAUGCAAGUCGAACGGCAGCACAGUAAGAGCUUGCUCUUACGGGUGGCGAGUGGCGGACGGGUGAGGAAUACAUCGGAAUCUACUUUUUCGUGGGGGAUAACGUAGGGAAACUUACGCUAAUACCGCAUACGACCUACGGGUGAAAGCAGGGGAUCUUCGGACCUUGCGCGAUUGAAUGAGCCGAUGUCGGAUUAGCUAGUUGGCGGGGUAAAGGCCCACCAAGGCGACGAUCCGUAGCUGGUCUGAGAGGAUGAUCAGCCACACUGGAACUGAGACACGGUCCAGACUCCUACGGGAGGCAGCAGUGGGGAAUAUUGGACAAUGGACGCAAGCCUGAUCCAGCCAUACCGCGUGGGUGAAGAAGGCCUUCGGGUUGUAAAACCCUUUUGUUGGGAAAGAAAAGCAGCAGGUUAAUACCCCGCUGUUCUGACGGUACCCAAAGAAUAAGCACCGGCUAACUUCGUG
Molecule: ribosomal RNA, 492 nt
Filed under: uncultured bacterium
Lineage: Bacteria
Description: partial 16S ribosomal RNA
Rfam family: Bacterial small subunit ribosomal RNA
Source: RNAcentral